UGACGGACAGGAAGGAGUACCAGCAAAUACUUUUUACUGAGCAUACAGGCAUUACGCUGGGUCUUUACAUAUCUCCUCCAAAUAAGUGAGUCCAAAUGGCAGGUAACUCGAAAGAAAGGAAAUACUCCUGUCAAAUGCAUAACUUGAAUCUAAACAUGAGGAAACAAUCAGAUAAACCCAAACACAGACUGGGAUCACAAGCCAAGGAACAUGGGCUGCCAGUAGAAGCUGGAAAGGCAAGAAAGGGGAUUUCCCCUAGAGCCUCCAGAAGGAAUGUAGACCUGCCUGACUUCUUGAUUUUAGCCCAGUGAGACCCAAUUUGAACUUGUAAAUCUCCAGAACCGUGUGAUAAUAAAUUUGUGUUGCUUAAA
Molecule: long non-coding RNA, 371 nt
Organism: Symphalangus syndactylus (siamang)
Lineage: Eukaryota; Metazoa; Chordata; Mammalia; Primates; Hylobatidae
Source: RefSeq, a predicted model, not a curated record